RNAcentral lists this ribosomal RNA (542 nucleotides) under uncultured bacterium. RNAcentral describes it as "bacterial SSU rRNA". It matches the Rfam family "Bacterial small subunit ribosomal RNA", at positions 777 to 1314 of the family's 1533-position model. The record is from RNAcentral.
AAUAGAUACCCCGGUAGUCCACGCCGUAAACGAUGAGUGCUAAGUGUUAGAGGGUUUCCGCCCUUUAGUGCUGCAGCUAACGCAUUAAGCACUCCGCCUGGGGAGUACGGCCGCAAGGCUGAAACUCAAAGGAAUUGACGGGGGGCCCGCACAAGCGGUGGAGCAUGUGGUUUAAUUCGAAGCAACGCGAAGAACCUUACCAGGUCUUGACAUCCUCUGACCUCCCUGGAGACAGGGCCUUCCCCUUCGGGGGGACAGAGUGACAGGUGGUGCAUGGUUGUCGUCAGCUCGUGUCGUGAGAUGUUGGGUUAAGUCCCGCAACGAGCGCAACCCUUGACCUUAGUUGCCAGCAUUCAGUUGGGCACUCUAAGGUGACUGCCGGUGACAAACCGGAGGAAGGUGGGGAUGACGUCAAAUCAUCAUGCCCCUUAUGACCUGGGCUACACACGUGCUACAAUGGAUGGUACAAAAGGGCUGCGAGACCGCGAGGUUAAGCCAAUCCCAGAAAACCAUUCCCAGUUCGGAUUGCAGGCUGCAACCCG